UGCCAGUAUGAAACAGCAAAGAGCCUGGCAAAUCCUGUGCCUCUUCCCCAACCUGGUCAUUACUUGUUGGCGCAGCUGCAGGUUUCUGCACUUCUACAGCUUAAUCCUGGUCUUACCACCCCAUUCGUGCUUAUUUAUUUGGAGGGGCUCCAUUCUGAUUUAUGGAGUUACUGAGGUGGAAUGCUAACCUGCCCCAAACUAGCUGAUUUUCUAGAUUAAUGGAUGAAAGAAUAAUCACCAUCUGGGAUUUACAGGUUCUUCCUAUCUCUGUAAUAUUUGUAUGAUGUUUUCUGCCACAUAUUAUGGAACAGAAAAGGAUCAGAUUAUCUUCUGAUGUUUUUUGCAUCCUGAAAGCCAGAGGCGCCUGCUGGCGGAUUGCCACGACCCAUCCAAACUCCGGUAAUUUGAUCACCUGAGAUGUAGAGAUCGAACGCUGCUGGCACAGGGACUGCACAUCUCCAAGGGGAUUUUCAGACCUGGAUUCAAGAGUAACCCCCAGCAGUCACUGGGACUCUGCCCCUCCCAAAGGCAGAAGAAGACAAAACUGAAGUUUAUCCUGAUGCAGAGGCUGAUGGAUCCUUUGAGACCCAGGCACUGCGGCAGCGCGCAGGAUGCAACCCUUUUCUGGGCAAAGGGAGAAGACAGGACCUCAGUCUCUGCGGAGAGCCCCUGCCCCUCGCCAGUAAACCAUCUUUUUUACUGUGUUCCAGCGUGCUACUGACAAGAGGAAAGAAGGAGCUGGUGUUGUGGUCCAGAGACAAUCCUUCACAUAUGUCCAGCAGGUAUAAACGCUGCGCUGGAGCCUGCUCGUGUGGAGGGGACUGUGCAGAGCAGUGACAUUAAUUUACCACGAGGGUAAAAUUCCAGCAAAGUGGUUUCUACUGUGUAUAAAGCACUCAGUACCAGUGACGUUUGCCUCUUCUCUUAGUGAUAAAACAUAUUUAUUUGUGAAGUAGAUCUUAAUCUAUCUCAGAAAAGUGUUUUUAGUUUUUUACGGUAGCAUUUAUAAUGAUUGAAAGCGUGGGCUAGAGAGGACAUCUUUGUGUAGCAAUGAACAAAAAUAAGAAUAACUUUUCAGUAUUACUGUAUAUCAAUAGCCAAUUAUUUUUGUAUGGAUGGGUUCUGGCUGGCUGCUAAUGGACUGACAACGAGAUAAGUCUUCCAAGAGAGAAACCAUCAUUUCAAAGAUGGAGUGGCUGGCCUUUUAAUUUUAAGGUAUUACCAAAAUCACACCUUUCACCUUUAAAAAUUGUAAAUGAUCACUGCCUUGUUCUAAAUCAUUUAAUUGCUGUUUGAGCUGAGCCUGGGUAAUGCUUCGUAGAGGUUUGUCUUUCUUAGCACUGAUGGUGCCAUUUACAUUCCUUAAUUUUACUUGAAGAAAACGUCCUCCUUGCUCGCAGUCCCCCUCCUGCCUGCUCUCUGGCCAUCUGUCUGCAGAGGCACUUUAAGGAGUCUGGAGCCAAUUCACCCCUUGCUCAUAUGUAUUUCUUGAACUUGAUAUACAGCACAGACAUGCGCAGGCGGAAAGUCAAACCUAUUAAGUGAUGAGAUGAAAUAUAAAAAUGCUUUAGAAAACUUUUUAGAUGUCUCAGAUGAGGCAAGCAAACAUUCCUUGCUGGUUUUUCUUCUGCUUUGGUGAAUAUUCUUUCAUCUUUGCCUGUUCCAUCCAUCCACCUCUUUGUCUCUGACACGAGGAGUUUGGGUGACGUGGGUUAGGAGUCCUGUACUUCUGACCAACUCCUACUUCUCUGCUAUACAGUUUGCAUGGUAACCGCUCUGCUUGAAGCUCCUCACUUUAAAAAACAAGCUUGAAAGAUCUCCAUGUGCUCCAUAGUGUGCACCAGAACUCUCCUAGGACUCGACUGUACGUAUGAAUAGCCAAGGAAAGAAAUCUAAACACCUUAUUCACCAUGCCUGUGGAUCAAAGUGCUUUCUUGGCUUCAGAUAAACUCCGCCUGCUGUCUUUGAUGAUCUCUACUGUGCAUCUGGGAGAAGAGACCAACAAAAUAUUCAGAGAUGGGUAAAUUGAGGAAAACGGGCCAUUUCCAAAGCCAUAAGUUUGGUCAAUGGCUGUGGAACCUGCUCACACUGCUGCUGCCGUUAGCCUUGCGUGUUUGGUUUCCCAGGGCAAUGGAGAUGGAGGGAGCUGCUGAAAGUUACCACGUCAAUAUUUAUUCAGGUAUCUUGGGCUAUUUAUUUGAAGGCUCUGCCAUGUCCCCUCCACAGCAACAAGCCAGCUGCUCUGACAACUCCUAAGAAAUAAGAAAUGUGCCUUGAGUUCCUGUGACAUUUUGUAUUCCAAAUUUUGCCCAGUGGCUGAUGGUUCCUUCCUCAAAGUGACAUAUUGAUUGUGGGUACACGUAGGGCGAGUAUGAUUGUGUUCGGUAUUUUGAGCUCAUCAUCUGUUAUCUCAUUCUCAUUGUCAACCGAGGCCCAGACAGUAUCAAAUUGGAAGCAGUAGUGUAGAAAAUUAUGAACAAAUCAAAAAAGACUACAGCUGUGAAAUGAAUCAAACCACUGUUUCCACAUUUAGUAUUUCCAUUGGUACAAAACAUCUUUUACAAUGUAUUUUUUUUAUUAUUUUGGGCUUAGAGCUAUGAAGGCAGGGACAAAACAUUGCAAUCCAGCAUCCGGUGCUUGUGUGCGCCUACCAGACAAAGCAAUCGUUCACUAAGCGUGAUGAAGAUGGAGAAGAAUGGGUCACCAAGGGCAGCACCUCCCUAGAUCUGGGCCUCAAUCUGUUUAGACCACCCAAAGGACAUCCCACUGCUUCAGAGAUUCAUCCAUAGACGUCCUGGCUGGUAAUGCAAUGGUAGAACGGUGUGCACAAAACACCCCCGGUAUGUUUGCAGCUCUUGACCUUGGUCCUCUCCAUUUGCUGCAUCUUAAAUGGAGCGAUGCAGUCAGGAAAGUUCAAGUCUGAGCUCCAUUUCAGCUUUUCAGAGCAGCCCCUCGAUGUGCUGAUGCUGUACCCUGAGAGCAGGCUUUAAAUAUGUGUGUGUUUGUAUGAAGAUGACCACAUUAAAUUUAAGCAGAAAUAAAUGGUAAUUGAACUGGCACAGAUACACAAGGCUGACAUGAUCUCUAAAGGAUUGAGGCUGCUAUUAAAUUUGUUCCUCUUUAUUAAUUUGUGACCAAGAGGAUAAUGAAGAACUGGCAACUCUAAAGUUGACAUAAAAAGUAAGAGAUAUACAUUUGGCUUGGAUGAUUUUAUGCACUGUCAAAGUGAAAAGGCUUUGCUAAAUAUAUGUAAGCAAAGAUACACACUGUCAUCUUAAUGAGCAAUUAAAAGGUGGACUCUUAAUAAUUGAAUCUUAACUCUUGUCACAUUUGUAUUUGUUUAAUAUCUUUAGUUUUGGUUGAGUCUAGUUUUGAGUUCCUACUUUAAUCAAGGGUGAUUUAGGCUCUUGCUUCAAAUAACUAAAAGUGAUGAGCAUGCAUCUUGUUCUCCUAUUACCUCCUCAGCUUCUUGUUUCCAAUGAACACAGUGUUCUUGUAAAAAAACUCAUGUUUAAUUACUGCAUUUAGCUAGCAGGACUGGACAAGGAGGGGUGGGUGGCUGAUUCACUGUCAUUCAAAGUUUGAAUUUUCAAAGAGGAAACCUUACCUUCCUCUUCUGAAGAUUGCUCAGUAGAUUUUGGAAAUGCUUCAAAUGGCUCAGAUGGUUACCAGUUAAUUCCUUUGCUGGUAGAAAUCAGGGAGUCUUGGCUGUCUGCAUUGCUCUGUUGUGGGUUUGCUUCAUGUUUUUAUUAUUAUUUUAUUUUAUUUUAUUUUUUAAAAAGCCCAAUAAGAGCAGGCCAUCUGUUCUUCAAAACUCUUUCCCUUAAACUAAUCGCCGCGGUCACCCUUGAAUGCUAUCGUAUCUUCAGUGACACGGAGCUCUGCCUCGCCAAUCUGUUGUUUAAAAUUUCUUAUAAAAUUCCUGAUGUCGCAUCAGUCAAAGCUGCAACAGGUUGCACACUUCCUGCUCCUCUCACCAAAGUACGGGAGACCAGCACUGGCGCGGGUCUCUCCUUCUUCACAGUCCUCACAUUUGCCCGUUGCAUAUUAAAGAAAUUGUCACUUGCAGCUUCAACUCCUCUGAACUUCCAGAGGGCUUUUACUUACUGUCUUGUUUUCUGGGUUUAAUUUUCUUAUUUUUAACGGGGUGGAAAGGAGGAUGCUUAAUUCUUAUUUCAGUGAAUGGGUUAUCCUGUAGUUUAAGAAAAAAAAGAUUAAAACACUGCAAACUUGUUUUUUCCUCUUUUCUCUGCAUAGGGAUCUUCACCUUCUCAAGUCUCUCUUUAAAAUAAUCCAUUUUUCUUCUCCUCAUAACUCCAAUCACUGGUUUUGGGGCCUCUCCAAUUCCCAGUUCAAAGGAAAGCAACAAUUAUUUUGCUUCUAACUCAUCCAGCCCUGAAGGUGAGGAAUUUAUCAGUUUUUCAUCACUAACCUGCUCUGGAGGAAGCAGUUCUAUUUCUCCAGGUCUAGAACAGAGCUGGCUGCUUCCCCCGGUCUUUGCGGGUGGGUGAACAGCAGACCACCCUCCUCCUGCCAGCAAAGCUCCCCAAAACACCCCUUGGGACGCAGCCAGGCUUCCACGGGGCUUUUAAAAGGUCUCAGGACAGAUUGAAAGCAUUUGAAAAGGAGGGGAUGGAGCUGGCUGAAGGCUGAAGGUGCAAGGAGGGGGGUGCCUGGUUGAUGCUU
Cuculus canorus (common cuckoo) is the source of this 4686-nucleotide long non-coding RNA. RefSeq lists it as uncharacterized. NCBI's taxonomy places the organism in Eukaryota, Metazoa, Chordata, Aves, Cuculiformes, Cuculidae. The record is from RefSeq and is a predicted model, not a curated record. The transcript has 5 exons.